RNAcentral lists this long non-coding RNA (2519 nucleotides) under Theobroma cacao (cacao). RNAcentral's name for it is "long non-coding RNA (TCAC_LNC004823)". The record is from RNAcentral. Lineage: Eukaryota; Viridiplantae; Streptophyta; Magnoliopsida; Malvales; Malvaceae.
UUCACAUGUUUUUCUUGAAGAAUCUUUGAUCAUACAUGUCUAAAAUAAUGUUUUAACAUGGUUGAAAUGAGAUUGUAAUUUGUUCUCACACAAAUCCAUGUUUUGAGAUCAUUAUACCUUAGAAUAUUUCAUGUUUUGCACCUUUCUUUGGAUUUUCAAUAUGUAGGAAUCAAGCAUAAUUGACUCUUUAGCAUUGCUAGUCAUGUCACAACCCGGUACCCCCCUUGAGCCCGUGACAAAUGCCGUGACAUCUCGGUUGACAUUCGUUACCCAGAGUGCCAACCGGAACCUCGCAAGGCUUUAGUACCAUUUUUUUUUCAUCUCCCCUAUGAGUAAUCAUCGCCAAACCUCGUUUUUAAAGAAUUUUAAGCUUUUUCCCUUUCCAAACUGUGGAAAAAUAAUUUUCUCCUCACAGGGGCAUUUUCAUCAUUUUUCCUCGAAAUUUUUCGAACCCGACUAAAAAUGUAGUAGAUGAGUGGAAAACACAUAUUUCAUGAUUUAAAAUAAAGUUGGGUGUCUAAAACAUUUAUUGAAAAUGAUAUUGCAACUAUUUGAAUAAAAUAAAAAUAUUCAAUAAGAUAUUCUAAUUUCUUGUAAAACAAUAUUUAUAGAGUCAUCGGUAAAUAAUUUUUGUAAUGUAAAAGCUAAAUAAAUUCAUACGUACUAUAAUACAGAUAACCGAGAUAUGAAAUUUACUUUACAAUGACUCAUGGGCCCACAAGGAACAAAAGUGCACAAAGGCAGUAAACCUACAGUUUUUGGAGUAGUAAAGUCGACUAUAAUCCUUGACGAUAUCUGCUAUCCACAGGCUACCUCAGGCCUGAAAUGGUUGAAAAUGAGGGCGGUGAGAUUAUAAAUCCCAGUGAGUAAAUACAUAUCAUCUAAACCAUCUAAAGUUGAGUAAAUGGAGAUAGAUAAAAUAGUUUAACAUACUGAAAUUCAUCACCUUUUAACUUGUUUCAACCAAAUAAAAUCAAUUCAUAUAAAUCGAGUAAUUAACAUGGCUUAUGAAUUUUUUAAAACUUUGGCUCGUGCCAAAAUCAGUAUCAUACUCAAUCAUCAGGGAUACCUUGGCCGAGGGCUAUCCCAAACUGAGUCCGCCAAGGCUGUUAAAAAGUUAUGUACGCAUAAAUCAUGUUUUUAUUUUGAAAACAUAGCCGUUUCUUGGCGUUGGCCGAGUUCACCCUCACGUGGUGGUUGGGCGUGAAGUGAACUCUAAAGUUUGACCUCGGGAGUUACCCUACGCGCCUCUCUAAUUGAGGUACAUAUAUAUGACCAGGUUCCGUGCCCCUCUAAUAGGUUGGUCUACAGAACCAGCCCACUGCAACAAGCUAAACCCACCAUACAAUAAAAAUUCAACAACAUGAUAUGGCAAUUUUAUCAUUAUCCAGCUUAUCAAGGAAAACAACAGUUUAUACAUUUCAACACAAAUACCAAUUCAGCCAUUCAUGCAAAUAUUGUCAUAAGCCAAUAAAUUAAAACCAUAAAUUCACAAUACAUCAAAUGGUCUCCAAUUACUCUAUUUUCAAAGCCUUCAUUCAAUUUCAAGACCAUUUAUGAAAUCAUUUUGUUUAAACACAUUUUGUUUAUAAAACCUAAAAAUUUACCAUUUAAACUCAUUGUCCAUUAAAUCAAAAAAACAAAUAAAAACCACUCUAGAUAAUUAAGACGAUAGUAAGGUUACUCAUAGUACUAGGAGUUCGAUAUACUCCUAUUCCCGAUCUUCAGGCACAAUCUCUUUACUCUUGUUAGAGGGCUCACCACCUAUACAUCAUACGUGACACGAAUUUCAAUAAAUUGUGUCAAUUUAUCAUAAACUAUUUCAGGCUCUAUAAAUCUAUAUGAAUGCACGAAAUGUGAUGCAAAAUGUUCGAAUAACCACUUAAAUACGGUAUUCGACCUAAAUCGCACUAUUCUCGGUGUAAUUGGCUAAAACCUCCAAUUUAACUCCAAAUAGAUUUCUUUCACUUUCUACACUCCAAUUAUACUUAAAAUACCUCAAUGACUGUGAAUAUGAUUCAAUUUAUCAGUCCGAACCACAAAUCGCACAUGUCUAUACAUUAGGUAAAAAUUCAGAUUUUCAUGGCAAAAUUUCUCAUUAAAUUUCUAGCCUCACCAAUCAUUAAAUACCACCAAAAUAUCAUUAAAUAUCAUCAAUAUCAGCCUCAAUAUCCUCCCUAAAAAUUUGGCCUCUUGUGGGUUUGUGAAGAACAAAGUGAUUCCUUGCCAGAUUUUCAUACUUUCCAUUACCAAACAACCAAAAACACUUAAUUAGCUUGAAAUCUAGCAAAAUCAAUGCUCAAAACCUCUCCUCUCAAAUUCGGCCAGCAUGGGUUCAUCAUGCAAACUUGAGUUCUAAGCAUGGAAAAUGAAAAAGAAAGCAUGGGUAGUGUAAAUCACAAGAUAAAAUCACAAAAUUUUACCUUUAUUAGCUUAAUCCCUUGAAAUCCCACACUUUUUCUUCAAUUUUCCCACCUAGGGUUUGUGUUCUUUCCUUUCCUCUUCACUUCAUGCUUUGG